ACUGCUCAGUAACACGUAGCUAACCUACCCUUAGGACGUGGAUACCCCCGAGAAAUUGGGGUUAAUCCGCGAUAGAUGUAAUGUCCUGGAAUGGUAUUACGUCUAAAGGUAUUUCAUACAUGUUUGAAAUAUGCCUAAGGAUGGGGCUGCGGCCGAUCAGGCUGUUGGUGGGGUAAUGGCUCACCAAACCUUUGACCGGUACGGGCCAUGAGAGUGGUAGCCCGGAGAUGGACACUGAGACAAGGGUCCAGGCCCUAAGGGGCGCAGCAACCGCGAAACCUCCACAAUGCACUCACGUGCGAUGGGGCUAUCUCGAGUGCCACCUGAUGAAGGUGGCUUUUCCUUGGUCUUCAAAGCCUUGGGAAUAAGAGGGGGGCAAGACUGGUGUCAGCCGCCGCGGUAACACCAGCCCCUCGAGUGGUGGGGAUGAUUAUUUGGCCUAAAGCGUCCGUAGCCGGCCGAGUAAGUCCCCCGUUAAAUCCAGCGUCUCAAGCGUUGGACUGCGGGAGAUACUACUUGGCUAGAGAGUGGGAGAGGUCAGCGGUAUUCUGGGGGUAGGGGCGAAAUCCUUUGAUCCCCGGAGGACCACCAGUGGCGAAGGCUGCUGACUAGAACACGUCUGACGGUCAGGGACGAAAGCUGGGGUAGCGAACCGGAUUAGAUACCCGGGUAGUCCCAGCCGUAAACGAUGCAUGCUAGGUGUUGGGUUGGCCACGCGCCACCCCAGUGCCGCAGGGAAGCCGUUAAGCAUGCCGCCUGGGAAGUACGAUCGCAAGAUUGAAACUUAAAGGAAUUGGCGGGGGAG
This 805-nucleotide ribosomal RNA is filed under the name uncultured archaeon. RNAcentral's name for it is "bacterial SSU rRNA". It matches the Rfam family "Archaeal small subunit ribosomal RNA", at positions 85 to 876 of the family's 1478-position model. The record is from RNAcentral.